Molecule: ribosomal RNA, 396 nt
Filed under: Gecarcoidea natalis
Lineage: Eukaryota; Metazoa; Arthropoda; Malacostraca; Decapoda; Gecarcinidae
Description: 12S ribosomal RNA
Source: RNAcentral
UAUUAUUCCAAAUAGAAAUUUAUAAAUCUAAAUUAGUAAUAGAUAUUAUCUUGAAAAUUAAAAAAUUUGGCGGUGAUUUAAUCUUUUUAGAGGAAUUUGUUUCUUAAUCGAUAAUCCACGUAAAAUCUUACUUAUUUUUGUUUUUAGUUUGUAUACCAUCAUUAUCAGGUAAUUCUUAAAGGAAAAAUUACUGAAUUUAAUUGUUUAUAAAAAUUAGAUCAUGGUGCAGCUUAUGAAUAAGUUGAAAUGAAUUACAAUAAAUUAUUUUAAAAUGAAUUAAUAAAAUAAAUUUUGUUAUGAAGGAGGAUUUAAUUGUAUUAUAAGUUUAAUAAGCUUAUAAGAAAUAAGCUCUAAAUCAUGUACAUAUCGCCCGUCGCUUUCACCUAUAACUGAAAU